UAGGGAAUCUUCCACAAUGGGCGCAAGCCUGAUGGAGCAACGCCGUGUGAGUGAAGAAGGUCUUCGGAUCGUAAAACUCUGUUGUUAGAGAAGAACAUGCAGGAGAGUAACUGUUCUUGUAUUGACGGUAUCUAACCAGAAAGCCACGGCUAACUACGUGCCAU
This 164-nucleotide ribosomal RNA is filed under the name uncultured bacterium. Its description in RNAcentral is "partial 16S rRNA". It matches the Rfam family "Bacterial small subunit ribosomal RNA", at positions 355 to 511 of the family's 1533-position model. The record is from RNAcentral.